This 497-nucleotide ribosomal RNA is filed under the name uncultured bacterium. RNAcentral's name for it is "partial 16S ribosomal RNA". It matches the Rfam family "Bacterial small subunit ribosomal RNA", at positions 28 to 507 of the family's 1533-position model. The record is from RNAcentral.
GAUGAACGCUGGCGGCGUGCCUAAUACAUGCAAGUCGAGCGAACAGAUGAGGAGCUUGCUCCUCUGACGUUAGCGGCGGACGGGUGAGUAACACGUGGAUAACCUACCUAUAAGACUGGGAUAACUUAGGGAAACCGGAGCUAAUACCGGAUAAUAUAUUGAACCGCAUGGUUCAAUAGUGAAAGACGGUUUUGCUGUCACUUAUAGAUGGAUCCGCGCCGCAUUAGCUAGUUGGUAAGGUAACGGCUUACCAAGGCAACGAUGCGUAGCCGACCUGAGAGGGUGAUCGGCCACACUGGAACUGAGACACGGUCCAGACUCCUACGGGAGGCAGCAGUAGGGAAUCUUCCGCAAUGGGCGAAAGCCUGACGGAGCAACGCCGCGUGAGUGAUGAAGGUCUUCGGAUCGUAAAACUCUGUUAUUAGGGAAGAACAACUGUGUAAGUAACUAUGCACGUCUUGACGGUACCUAAUCAGAAAGCCACGGCUAACUACGUG